UUUGUGACUUUGGGGACUAGGUCUCUUUGC
Molecule: non-coding RNA, 30 nt
Filed under: Rattus norvegicus (Norway rat)
Lineage: Eukaryota; Metazoa; Chordata; Mammalia; Rodentia; Muridae
Source: RNAcentral